CACUAGAUCAUAUCCCUGUUAUUUACGCUACAACAAAGAACUGAAUUUAUCAGCAUGAGUUUGAUCUACUGUUUAACACUGUUGCUGAAUUUCAGGAAUGGAUGUAGCUGGAAACUACAGAGAAAGCUGUGCUAAACACAGCUCCAGGUGACUGCAAAAUCAGCAUGUGAACUGUGCCUUCAGUGGAAGUACUGUUCUUGGAUUCUCACCUCUAUUCCACAAGCAACUGAAAUGAACGGACCUAUAUAGAAGGCAAAUCUGAAAUAGAGACAUCACCCAUGGCCAGACCCAUUAAUUAUUUGGGUAUAUCUGUUUCUACUGGAGAAUUUGUUGUUUUGUAUGAUGAAACAUCUUGAUUCCCUAUCAGGAAGAAAGACAGAGGAAAGCAGACUAAUGAAGCAUCGAGGAGGACUUCUGAUCAGCUGAAGGGGCAAGAGGAGCAGCUGGCAGUGACCACAUUCAGUGUAGCAGUCCUAUCACCAGAGCUCAUUCCUAGAAUAACAGCCCCACCAGCAAAUAGGUAGCUGUUUUCAUACUAUUAUAGUUUUGCUUAUC
RNAcentral lists this long non-coding RNA (555 nucleotides) under Columba livia (rock pigeon). RNAcentral describes it as "partial uncharacterized LOC102095249, transcript variant X2". Lineage: Eukaryota; Metazoa; Chordata; Aves; Columbiformes; Columbidae. The record is from RNAcentral.